RNAcentral lists this transfer RNA (69 nucleotides) under Ectobiidae sp. BB. RNAcentral describes it as "tRNA-Ser". It matches the Rfam family "tRNA". Rfam says of the family: Transfer RNA (tRNA) molecules are approximately 80 nucleotides in length. Their secondary structure includes four short double-helical elements and three loops (D, anti-codon, and T loops). Lineage: Eukaryota; Metazoa; Arthropoda; Insecta; Blattodea; Ectobiidae. The record is from RNAcentral.
AGUUAAUAACUUUAAGAAAGUUUUGUGUUUUGAAAGCAUAAAAAAGAGGUUUAAAUCCUCUAUUAACUU